Molecule: long non-coding RNA, 1610 nt
Filed under: Gallus gallus (chicken)
Lineage: Eukaryota; Metazoa; Chordata; Aves; Galliformes; Phasianidae
Description: long non-coding RNA NONGGAT007864
Source: RNAcentral
UGGAGUCACUCACAGUCAGCUCUUGGAGCUCACGCUUCCUUCUCCAAACUGAGAUGCCCUUACAGAGGUGCAUAAAACCUUGGCUUUCUGGGGCAAUAAAGGACUUGGUUCUGGAAUGCAGAAUCUCUCCUGUGGUAACAGAGCCAAAUGCACCACACAGACAGGAGAGAGCUCGUGGUGCUGGAAGGAUCCUGCCACGCUCUCUGAGCUGCAGGUGGGAGUGAAAGGACAUUAACACCAAUCCUGCAGGGACUGGGGGCACCUCUCCUUCCCUGGUAGGUGGGAGUGAUGUGCUCUGCCUUCCUCCUUCCACACGAAAACCCAUAGGAGGUGCCCAAAGAGGACAAAUCCUUAUAGAAGACUCUUCCUGCGUUUUCUCGCUGAACUUCAGUUUUCCUCAGACUUAUCUGAAGAGGACAGAGGUAUGAAAGAUGAAGUGAUGUUCCUUCCCAUGGCUCCACUGGGGAUGGGAGUAGAGCCAAACCUGGAGUGCAGGCUGAGCCAACCAGGGGCUAGUUGUUCUCCUUCAAAACAAGCUCCUAAGUUAUAAAACUCGCUCCCUGAUGGCUUCCACUGAAAAGGCUGAAAGCACAGCCUGUGUGCUCUGCAUGCAGAACAUGAGCAGAGGCAGGACAGAAACCCGGGGCAUGCAGAGCAUCACCACUCAGCCCUCCAUCUCUUCUCCAUCUCCCCUGAAAUGGAGGAUGACAACUGGGACACCAUUGGCCCUAAGGACAAACGGUCCUGAAGAAGGACUGGCAAACUGCUUGGAGUGGCCAUGCCAGAUGGACAGGAAGAGGCUGUGUUCAAGAACCACGGAGAUGUGGCACAAAGGAACACGGUCAGUGGGCAUAGUGCACAUGGGUUGGGGUUGGACUUGGGCAUCUUAGAGGUCUUUUCCAACUUCAGUUUUUCCGUGAUUCCAUGAAGUUUCCUGCAGCUGGCUCCAUCCCAUUGCCCUGUCCCCACCACUGGGCUGCAAGGCUGAUUUUAAAAGGACACAUUCCCACCUGCAAGCACAAAGCUCCUCAAAGACCAAGAGCAGAGCAGACACAAGCUGCUCGGUGCUGGCUGUCAGCAAAGCUCAGUGGCUCCAGCCCUGCAGGACUCCUGAAAGUCAGUGCGGACUGCCUGGCCGAGCUGCAGGCACGCACGGUGGUAGUAAUGCGGCAGUGAAUCAGACCCUUCGUGUUUUGUUUAAAUAUAAACAUAUUGAAUCAGUGCUUUUUUGUGAGGAAGGCUAUUCUCGCCAGCCAAGUGUUUUGACAGCUACAGCAAGGUGGUAUGAGUCACUGCCUCCGCCUCAGCCAGCCUUGGAGACAGAUACAUCUUAAUCACAUUACAUUUUUUCAACGCCUCACCACAAUCCCAGGCACGGGGCCAACCUUCCCCCCAGGGAUGGAGCGGUGGAUCCUGAGUGCGAAGUUUGCCCUCCCCUCCCGGCCAAGCCCGGCUGCUCGGAAUGCACACAGCAGCGCAGCGGCUCCCGCUGCCAUUAGCGCUAAUGGAAGUUGGGAGCAUAAAUCCCAUGUGUGGCACUGAGGGGAUGGAGGCUGCUGCCUCCCGGAUCUCCCCAGCACAGCUUCAUGAGGUCUUUAACUGUACUUUCA